AGAGAAAAUUGCAUAAAUCCAAAUGGCUUUGCUUCAGGAGAAAAUUAUUGCAUGGAAGCUGAAUGGUUCAAAUACUAGGUGCUUGGGACUCAAGAAGAGUUGGUGGUGAAUCGGCUGAGCAAAGGGUGAAGGUGAAGAUCAUUAGAUGUUCCAGCACUGGCGGAGACUGUUGGGGUUGUGUAACUGUGCCUGGAGGGGCGGGGUUUCCUGUACAUUCCUACCUCACUGAAUAACCUGCGCUCAACUCUACUCCAGUUUACUCCCAAACAGACUGGACCCUUCACUUAAGAAAAAUGAGCACAGCCAUCUCACCUAACAGGGGUAGGUGAAACUUAAAAGAAAAAUAUUCCUCUUUCAUUACCCGAUUUCUGAUGUGGAGAGAAAAAAAGACAGCCACCUCUCUCUCUCUCUCUCUCUCUCUCUCUCUCUCUCUCUCUCUCUCUCUCUCUCUCUCUCUCUCUCUCUCUCUCUCUCUCUCUCUCUCUCUCUCUCUCUCUCUCUCUCUCUCCCCCCUUCCUUUGUACCCCCCUCACAUGCACACCCCAUUUUCAUCCCCCCUUCCCUAAUUUCUGCAGACAUAGCAAGGGUGUAGAUGUCUCCACCACCUUAUCUUCCAGUUAUUUCGUGGUGUGAGAAAUGAUUUCCCUUUUUCCAGGACUCCUAUCACUAUCCCAGUUUUCGUGCCUGUACCUCUCCAUCCCGGGUAAAUUAGUCUAGCGCUUUCUUAUUCUUCCCUAAAGUCUAGUUGAUGGUCAAUUCUAGCUUUUGGUGUCGUGGGUGAAGUUUAUGGACUCCCAGGGAGUAGGGGGUGGUGGGGAGAUGGGAGUGUUAACUUGAGUGGUGAUGAAGUAUGUAUGAAUGCCCGCUUUUCUUUUCCCACUCUUCCCAUUUCUAUUUAUCUUUCCAAGACGCUGUGAGGCAUGGACCGCAAAUCACUGGCAUAAACAUUCCGGGCUCUGACUGUCCCUUACCCACCGAAUCGAUGUUUUGCAGGCAAUACAGGUGCUACCUGGCAAACUGGAUGGGGAGUCCUCAGGAGCUCCUUGAUUGGAAGCACCAAAGAGAAGACUUGGAUGAACCUUUAAUUUUGUGCUUUAAUUCAUAUUAUUGCUCCUGACAAGACAAGUGCUACAUUGAAGCUCUGAACAGAAUUCUUCAUUGGUUAGAACUAUGAAAAUUGAUCAUAUGAUUAUUCACUUCCCAUCAAAGGAUACCUACUCUUUACAUUGGUUUUCUUCAUAUCAACCAGAGUUUAAAACCAAAAGAAACUCCAAUACAAUGGAAAUUAGUUGGAACUGCCCAGAAAGUCCAGACGGGAAAAAAAAAAAGACAUCUCCAUUCCUGGUGCAUCAGUUAUCUGAGAAAAUUGCUUCAAAUUAUUUUUUCUAGUAUAUCUGAGUUUGUUUUUUCUCUUACUCAUCUUUCAGAGUCAUGAUUCGCUUCAUUAAAUUGUAUAGUCAGAUAUUAUCAUCAUGUGAAUCUAUUGUAUAUCACAAAUUUGUUUUAUUUUUCUCACUGCUUUUAAAGAUAAGGGAAUAAUUAAAAAAAGGAAAA
Molecule: long non-coding RNA, 1554 nt
Filed under: Monodelphis domestica (gray short-tailed opossum)
Lineage: Eukaryota; Metazoa; Chordata; Mammalia; Didelphimorphia; Didelphidae
Description: lncRNA (ENSMODG00000033609.2)
Source: RNAcentral